Molecule: long non-coding RNA, 520 nt
Filed under: Vulpes vulpes (red fox)
Lineage: Eukaryota; Metazoa; Chordata; Mammalia; Carnivora; Canidae
Description: lncRNA (ENSVVUG00000009066.1)
Source: RNAcentral
AUGUCCUUUCGAAAGCCACCUCCUCCCACAAACUCCCCUGAUCCCCCUAAAUCAGCCUUAUCAACCGGCUGCUCUCACAUAACUCUGUUCUAUCUUCCUCAGAGCAUCGGGACCCUCAUCACGUUAUUCGUUCAUUCAUUUACUCUCUCUGUCCUCUAUGACCCUUUGUUCACAGGCGUUACUCUAAAAUGUACCCAGGACUCUGGUUUCACUCAGCGAAGGGGAGGUCAACAGGUCAGCAGGCCACCACAGCUGAAGGGUCAUUCUGCGACCUGGAAAUAGGAAUUAACUCUUGGUCCUUUAUUACCUCCAUACCCUCAGCCUGGGAGGAGAGGCAAGAGCCAGGAUGCACAUUGGGGUUCCAACUGACAGUGGAGUUUUGAGUGAGAAACUACUUCUGGAGGAUAAGGAGGUGUCGGAAGCACAAAACAAACAAGCUCUCUAUAUUCCCAACUUUACAUCAUUCCCUGGUAGAGACAAACUUAAUAAAAUAAGCCAAAAUAAAAUAAUUUUCUAAUAG